Phoenix dactylifera (date palm) is the source of this 4684-nucleotide non-coding RNA. The record is from RefSeq and is a predicted model, not a curated record. NCBI's taxonomy places the organism in Eukaryota, Viridiplantae, Streptophyta, Magnoliopsida, Arecales, Arecaceae.
GUUGAUACCAACAUUACCUUGUUCGGUGGAAAGGCCGACCAGAGUCUGACGUGACGUGGAUUUUUAGAGCCAAGUUGCAGUGCCUUGACCCCGAUCUUCUGAAGCAGUAUGACAGCCGGCCAGACCUGCAUUCGACGGAAUCGAGUUUUUUCCACCUGGAAGGAGUUGAUGGGAACAUCAGAGCCAUUUGAUCAGGUGAUCGAACCAUCAGAGCCGUUCGCUCACGUUCACACCAAAGAUUAAUAUCAUUAUGGCUCGGAGACGAUCUUGAGCCACUGGAUUGAGUCAGACCCAGAUUGGGUCUAUUUGAGUCUAAGUCACUUUUAUUUUAUUGCACUAUUUGCUUUUGUUUUAGUCAAAUCAAUUUGGUCAGUUGUUUUGUUAUUAAUCAAGUUAAUUGAGUCAUAUAAUUGGAUCGAGAGAUUGGAUCGAUUUUGGUAUGUAAUCAAUUAAUUGACUUAGUCAGUUGAUUGAAGGGUCCAAGUUUGGUUAGUUGUCAAUUGGUUGACUUGGCCAAUUCAUGAUAUAAGGCCUAUAUAAAGGCCACCCCUCUCAUGAAUUGGGGUAUUAAAUGAUUGAAUAAAAACCUUAGCAUCCUUCUUCUUCUUCUUCUUCUUCUUCUUCUUCUUCUUCUCUUCUUCCUCCUCUCUUUCUCUUCCUCCUCCUCCUUCCCUCUUUUUCCUGCAGUGGUCCUCCAUCAAUAUCACCAUCAAAUUAACACUUGACAGGGGAGAUAUCAUGUUUGCUGCGCAUUGAUGUCUGUCUGGGAUCUUCAUAAAGCAUGGCUACAGGCAGAAUUCAAGGGUCUAAGCCAAGCUAUUAUAACCCGCUGGCGAGGGCCGUAUGCCGAGCUACUGUAACCUGCUGGCGAGGGCCACAAUCUUUGCCAACUAUUGUUUCCCGUUGGCAGGGUCUAAACCAAGCUACUAUAACCCGCUAGCGAGGGCCGUAUGCCGAGCUACUGUAACCCGCUGGCGAGGGCCAUAAUCUUUGCCAACUAUUGUUCCUCGUUGGCAGGGUCUUCUUCCAGUUACUAUCACCCACUGGCGGGGGUUGUAAAGCCAAGUUACUUUUACCCACUGGCGGGGGUCAUAUGCCUAGUUACUGUUACCCACUGGCGGGGGUCGUGCAUAGCGAUCUGAGAGUUCUUAAAAUAUAUCAUGCUUUUCAUAAAUCUUUUCUCAUAGAUACAUUGGAAAGUGAAUAAUGGCAUCAUGCUAAAUAAAACUCAUGAUCAUGCUAAAAACUUUAUUUUUCUAUGCAUCUUUCUACAUCAUCAUAAUCAUCAUAAUCAUGUGUAUAUAAUAUAAUAAUAAUCAUGAUCCAAAAUUAUGUAAUCAUUUGCUAACACAUGCUUGAUCCUAAUUUUGUGAAAGCAUAAAUAAUCAUAUACAAUUUCAUAAUCGAGUAAUCACAAGUAUUUAAUAAAACAUAAGAUUAUAUCAGGAUUACUUUUUCCACAAUUUAUAGACACAAUUCCACUUGCAUAAAUAAUACUUUUUCAUCUUAUAAAACGUGAUACAUAAUCCAUAAUAAGAUUAAGACAGGUUACUUACCUUCAAUUGCUCACCCAAAUACCAAUUCUCCAAUACCUAGCAAGAUCAUUAAAUUACAUAUCACUUGCACCUUUAAUUUCUAUUUAUUUAUAAUCUUAAAGUCAUUUACAGCCCAUCCAUUGGACUCAAUUUCAUUUUCGGAUCCAUAACGUAGUUCCAUUUUUGGGUUAGGCCCAUGGCCCAAUUCAAUUUCUGGUUCUGGUCUAAUCUACUUUAUGGUUCGGAUUUGAUUCCAUUUCUGGUUCAGGUCUGGGUCAAUUACAUAUUGGUUUAGAUCUGACUCAAUUAAUUCUGGGUUUAAGAAUAUUGGGCUCAGAUAAGGGCCCAGUCCAGCCUGGGGCCUUUAAAGCUCGGUUCAUUUGAAGCCCACCGCCGGAAUCAGGCCCAAUUCGACCCACAUCAAUUUUUAUUUUAUUUUCCUUUCUUCUUUUCUUUUCUUUUUUUUUCUUUUCUUUUCUUUUCUUAUUUUUCUUUUCUUUCUUCUCCUCCCUUCCCGAACCUUCUUCUCCUUUCUUCUUCCCAUCCCGAUCUCCUCCCCCUCCUCUUCUCCUCUCCUCCCAUGAGGCAAGGGGAUGGAGUGCUCGGGCGGAGGCCGGCUCAAAGCCGGCUGCGCUGCGGCCAACCAGCGGCGCCUGCGGUGGCUGCGGCCCAACCUGCAGCAGCCGCGGCCCGGCUGGACGCUCUCCUUCUCCACCUCCGGUGGAGGAGAUGGGGCAUGACACCCAUCGAGAAGAAGGAACCGGCUGAAGCCGGUGGUGAACGCAGGGUGUGUGGCCACACCCAUGGUGCCCGCACAGCCCAUGGCCGGCUCUGCGACUGCAGCCCGUGGACAACCCGAUGGCGUCCACGACCGGAGAAUAGAAGAAUCCUCUUCACCUUCUUCUUCUCCGGUCACCUCCGGCUAAGAUCAAACCGGUUCCACCUAUGGGAACCGGAUUUGCAUGAUCCGAGGACCCUUCCAAGAAUCAGAAGGUAUGUAUGUAUUUUAGGAUUUUAGACCUAGGGUUUUGAUGGGAAGAAAAUCACAGUCGAGUGGAAAGGGAAGGCUAAUUCGGCCUGGGCCGUCCAUGGCCUUCGAUCAACCGAUCCAACGUUGGAUGACGGCUGCUCACAGUGAGAUCUUCCCCUUCCUUCCUCCUCCUCAUCUUCCAUUCUUCUACCCUUCCUCUUCUUCUAUUUUUUCUUUUUUAUUUUUCUAAUUUUCUUUUUGUUCUGAUCAUUUAUCUGGACAAAUCGGAAUAUGAGAUAGAAAGGAUAGAGUGAUCAGAAGAUUCACCUAGCUCCGGGAAGGAGCUGUGAGCGACGAUGUCGAGCUGGGGUGCCUCCUCCUCCGGCGCCGCCGCUCUCGAUCCAAUUCCUUGUAGCAGGAGAAAGAGGGUAAGAGGCAGUGAAGGGUGGUCGAUGGAAUUUCACAGAGGAAGCCAUGGCAUUUAUAGCCUCAUCGGAAGGAAGGGGGAGGGAGAACGGCCACUGUUGAGCGGUUAUAACCGCCUCAACAGCUUCCUUCCCGAAGCUACCACUGUUGGACCUCCAGAUGGGCCACCGACUACGAUCCAGGUUGGCCCAUUUGGACCCAAUAAUUACAUAAACAAUCUCAACAAAUCUAAUAAUUUGGGAUCCACUCUAAUCCUCUUCAGAAAAGGCACUUAAUAUUUGGAACAUUUAGUAUUGCUAUUCAUAUUCAUAAAGUUAGAAGUCCAGUGGUAUUUAUGAUGCCUAUUCAGUGAAGAACUUUUUUAGGGUAAAGUGCCUUUGUGAGAAACCCAUUCUUAUCUUUUAUGGUAAUGGAUGAAAGAUGCAGGGAACUGUUGUCCAAGAGUUGUUGCACUAUAAGCAUAGCACCUGUCUGGCAUGGGUGAAACUGUGCAAGUUGGGCACUUCAGUCUCUUAGACUGAAACUUCCUUGUAUUAUAUGCAUUCAAAUCUGAAGUCAUUGGCAUCCAAUAAGCUUAGGUUAUUAAAAUUGCAAUCUAAAUUCCAUAGACAUCUCCAUAAUUUCUUCUAAUAUUUUUAUAGAGAACUUACAAGUGGAACUUUGCUUGUUACAUUUUUGAGCUGCUGGUUAAUGUUUCCACUGGCAUGUCAGGUUUUUCGCAAUUUUACUCUACAAUGUAGAAAGCCACAGUUACAUUUGAUACUAGCAUAUGCACACUCAUUGAUUCCUUAUAUAAGAAGGAAGCACCAAGCUGUCAUUUUUUCGUGAGUAAAAACAGGUAGCCCCGGAUGCUGGCCAUUCUGCUAAUGAAGCUGGAAUUGCCGCUGAUCUAGCGGCAACCAAUGAGAAAUUCAAGAACAUCUUGAAAAUUGAUGGGUUCAAACUAGUAGUUGUUUGUGGGUUAAAAAGGAUCAAGCUUAAGGAGAUUGCAGGGGAAGCUGAUCCUUCCAUUUGCCUGUAUUUGGUAUCUCAUACAUUAAAGAACAGAUGGAUGAGUGGGUACUGGAUGUUGGUAAGGGGGUCACGAUGAGAAUGAAUGGAAAAUAUUACUUUGUGGUGGCACCACAGAAAAAAGUCUGAGCUGCUAAUUGGUGCAAAUUGUGACAAGCCCAUGGCUCAGCAAACACCAUUUGCUAAGAAUCAGCAAGCAGCACUGCUUGAAGACUGGAUUCUCCUUGCAAAGACUGGGGCUGAAGCUGGGAGAGCUGGCGGUGAGUCGGAUCUCAACACUAGAAAGGAGCAUCUCAAGUUGGGUGUUGCAGGGCUUCCACAAUGAUUCCUUGGUGGGGGUCCCAAAGCCCACAAAACAAUAUCCAGCACCAACACACUCACCUGGAACAUCAUCAAUGCAUGCUAAAUUAUGGAUUAAGUAGUGCUAAUCUUACAGAUUAGACUUACAUGAACUGCAUUUUGUCUUUCAUAGAGAUUACCACAUAUGAUACAUAACGAAUGUGAUGAGACAUGACAACUAAGUAAAUCAUGUCAGCAAAGAAGAUAUUGGUAUAGCAGCACCAUCUUCAGUAUUAUUCUGUAAGAAAAAUCUUUGGUAUUACUUAUCCUCAUCAAGUGGCUUCCUGCCAUGGGUAUAUGUUCCACUUUUCAUUUCCUAAGAUGGCAUGAAUGUUGAAAAUAAUAUUGAUUGCUUUGGAGCAGAACAGGAUUUCUUGAUAUAAUUCACUAGAAGUUCCAUGUA